AACGAACGCUGGCGGCGUGGAUAAGACAUGCAAGUCGAGCGCGACUUAUUCUGUAGCAAUACAGGGUAAGUUGAGCGGCGAAAGGGUGCGUAACACGUGGGCAAUUUGCCAUGAAGUUGG
Molecule: ribosomal RNA, 120 nt
Filed under: uncultured bacterium
Lineage: Bacteria
Description: partial 16S ribosomal RNA
Rfam family: Bacterial small subunit ribosomal RNA
Source: RNAcentral